Molecule: ribosomal RNA, 497 nt
Filed under: uncultured bacterium
Lineage: Bacteria
Description: partial 16S ribosomal RNA
Rfam family: Bacterial small subunit ribosomal RNA
Source: RNAcentral
GAUGAACGCUGGCGGCGUGCCUAACACAUGCAAGUCGAACGGACGGACGAGAAUCUUGUUUUUCUUUUGGUAGCGGCGGGCGGGUGAGGAACGAGUGGAUCACCAACCUAUAAUACUGGGAUAACGUCGGGAAACCGGAGACAAUACCGGAUGAUAUUUUGAACCGCAUGGUGCAAAAGGUAAUGACGGUCUUGCUGUUACUUAUAGAUGGUUCGGCGCUGCAUUAGCUAGUUGGUAGGGUAACGGCCUACCACGGCAACGAUGCGUAGCCGACCUGAGGGGGUGAUCGGCCACACUGGAACUGAGACACGGUCCAGACUCCUACGGGAGGCAGCAGUAGGGAAUGUUGGGCAAUGGGCGAAAGCCUGACGGAGUGACGCCGAGUGAGUGAUGAAGGUCUUCGGAUCGUAAAGCUCUGUUAUUAGGGAAGAACAUAUGUGUAAGUAACUGUGGACGUCUUGACGGUACCUAAUCAAGAAGCACCGGCUAACUACGUG